Non-coding RNA from Sus scrofa (pig), 11841 nucleotides. NCBI's taxonomy places the organism in Eukaryota, Metazoa, Chordata, Mammalia, Artiodactyla, Suidae. The record is from RefSeq and is a predicted model, not a curated record.
GUACCAUUCUGGGCCCCAGCUUCCACCAAAUAUCGGGAUCCCAGCCCUGGAAACCAACCCCCAAAUCGUUCUGCCCCCUCUUAGAACAAGAUAAUUUAUCUCCCACUUUGAAUCUGCGGUCCCACCCCUCUUCUUCCCUUGUCUAGACUUCCAAGGGCUGGCCUUCACCGCCCCUCCCAACCUGUCCCCCCCCUCCAGCUCUCAGCCUUCAUCUUCCAAUUGUCGCUUUCUCCUUCACAACCAAGAUGUGGAUUUGUGAUGUGUUGAGCUGACAGGGACAGGGGAGUUGGGGGAGGUUUGGAAAGGGGAGCCCAGAAUGUUUUGAACCUCCAAAUGGCAAACUGCAUCCUCUUCCUAUCACUCCUUAUUCACUCCACUCCCCAUCCCAGGCACACAUCAUUUAAUCACGCUAUCAAGUUCAAAGGUGAAUUAGAACUGGAAGGAGACUGGGGACAGCGGUGUUUCUGUCACACCUUUUCUCUUGCUUGCUUUGGGGAUGAGGGUGGCCUGGAGGAACAAUAGCUUUCCAUAGCCCCUUCUUCCUGCCUCAGGUUAGCAAAGGCAGUAGGAGGAGGUGGGAAAGAGUGGAGAUGACAAAGACCCCUUCCCAGGCCGGCAGUAGAUGCAAGAGGGAGGGGCUUCCUCAGAGUGGGCUGUUAUUUUGGUGGUGGUGGUGUCUCCAGACAGGGGCAGCACCCCCUUUUUGCUGCCUUUCCAGGGAGAGCAGCAAGAGAAAGAAAGAGAGAGGCAAGCGAAAUUCCUGAAUGGAUAGACAGAUGCUACGUCAUCCGGAGCUGCGUCCUCCACUCCACAAGAGGCUAGGAGCCGGGAGAAAGAGGCAGUCCAGCGGCAGGGGCCACCAGCGCAGGCUCUCCUCCUCACAGAAGCCGGCUAAUGGAGGCGGUGCAAUAAUCGCAGAAAGGAAAGGCUGAUGAAAGAUUUAGGGGGCGACCCAAAGGGAAAGGCAUGUGUGUGAAGGAGCAGUUGGCAGAGUGGGAUUUCAUCCCCUGUUCCCGCAUCUGUCUGUGGAGGAGCUGGUCAUCCAAGAAGAAGCAGCCUCGUUUGUUUCGGGUGUCAUCGUAGGUGUCCACCUUUGGCUUUGGGGAUCUCAAAACAUUUAAACUUGAGGAAGUUCCUACUUUUCCAGCUUUGGAGUCAAGGAGGGCCUCUUGAAACCUGAGGAAGCAGUAUCUGAAGCCUGAGGAGAGGAGGAGCAGACCCUGGGAAAGCUGUUAAGGGAAGAGGCUGGAGUCCACGUGGCAGAAUAACCAUUGUGUUUUUCUCCCUAAUACAUCUUACCAUGUAUUGCCAUGUAUUGGUAAGAGCACUUAUGGUUGGUAAACUGACUUACAUAGAUGGAGAGAUAUGGCAAUUCCAAGUUUAUUCUAUUAAGCUUCUAGAGUUACUAAAAAGUUUAUUAAAGGACCAGGUAGGUAGUGGGUAUAAUUAACGAACCAAAUGCAGAUCUGCCUAUCGGCAUGCAGAUUCUUCUUCACCAGGUGACUUUAAGAAGGUGUAUUUUCUAUCCUCUUGCCUCCCAGCCUCCCAACCUUCCCAAAAGUCAACUCUUUUUUUUUUCCUUUUUUUCUUAAUGGCUGCACCCGCGGCAUAUUAAUGUUCUUUGGCCAGGGAGUGAAUCCAAGCUGUAGUUUUGAUCACCACAGCUGCAGCAAUGCUGGAUCCUAUAACCCGCUGAGCCUGGCCAGGUAGUGAACUCAUGCCUCUGCAAUGACCUGAGCUACUGCAAUAUUAAUCCACUGUGCCACAGUCACCAACCCUUGAUUCCCAAGGUUGGUAACUCACCAGAGCACAGGUCCAUGUGCAUUCUUCUGUAUCUGGAAGUCCUUCAUGAAGUAUGUGCUUCCCAAGGUUUGGGAGUUGAAUAGUGAUAAUUAUUUCUUCACUUUCUUUCCACCCAGAUGUUCUGGGGAUGUUUGACCUUCCCUUCUUCUUCCUUCUCAAUAGACACCCCGGGGAUCUUGAGCCAUCAGUGCCCUGUCUCACCCAGAGGCAGGGUGUGCCAACUUCCCUGGGAGUUAAAUAAGUUUAGGUUAAUGCUUUAAAAUCAUUGGAGGGAAAGAGAGGGAAAACCAUAAUUUGAGAAUACAUAUAUAUUCUCAGAGCUUCCAGGAGAAGGAGGAGCAGGGUUAUGGAAGGUAAGAGCGGGUCCGUGAAUAUUUAGAUAGGAGAGAGAGAUUUAGAUAUUUAGAUAGGAGAGAAAAGGGGAACCCUUCCUUGCCACCCAGGCUCUCCCAGGGCUCAGAGUGACACCCCCCCUCCUCCUGCCCUAAUCCCCCCAUUAAGACUGCUCUGAGUUUGUUAUGACAGCGGCUGAAGGCAGCUGAAUUGCUGUUUGCUGUGUCUGCUAAUUGGACUGAAGGGUUGGAAUCUGGACACUGAAAGAGACCAUUGUUGCUGUUUACCUUCCACAACUGCCUCCCUGGGGACCUUCUGGGUGAAGGGGAACAGCAAGCCCUCAGGGUCAUCGCACCCAUUCCCUGUCUCUGCACAAGGGACUGGGGGUAGAGGGAUAGUUCACCUGUUUGCCUUUGAGUGGUUUGAACUUCUAUGGCACAGAAGAGACAAGCCCAACACCUGAGUCGGUCUCCAGGCCAGGCUUGGGGCCAUUGGGAACUCCUAAGGGGGGGGGGUUACAUGCUUGUCCUUCUCUUCCCUAUUCAUUUCCUUCAUCAGGGGCCCUAGCUUUGCCUCUUCCUCCAGCUGAUCAGGCUUAAUCCCUGAAAAUUUUCUUAUCUGCUUUCUUCCAGAUCACUGAUUCUCAACUUGUUUAUGCACUAAUAUCACCUAGAAAGCUUUUUUAAAAAAUGCUGAUGUUGGGGUUCAGUUGAGUAUCUGAGAAUGAGGCCUACCAUCAUAUCAUUUAAAAGAUCCCUUGGUGGAGUUCCCAUCGUGGCACAGCAGAAAUGAAUCCAACUACAAACCAUGAGGUUGUGGGUUCGAUCCCUGGCCUUGCUCAGUCGGUUAAGGAUCUGGCAUUGCUGUGGCUGUGGCAUAGGCCAGCAGCUGUAGCUUCCGAUUGGGCCCCUAGCCUGGGAACCUCCAUAUGCCAUGAUGCAGCCUUAAAAAAUUACAUAAUUAAUUAAUUAAAAGAUCCCUUAGUGUUUCUAAAUGUGCAGCUAAGGUUAAGAACCACUGAUAUAAGCUCAUCUCUCUGCCUAGGAAACACACACACAUACACAGGCACACACGUACCCUUUCCUACCUUCCCUACUUUCUGCUGUCCCCAAGCUCCUAAUAGCUAUAAUACUAUCAGAUGAUUGUGUAUCUUCCUCAUCUUUAUUACUAAAUUCCUUGUAGGAGCCGUAGGAUUUAGAGGUUUGUAACCUGUCAACUACUUUAACCUGAACCCUAUUGCAAGGGCAGGAACUCCAUCUCCCUGUGGAUUUCCAAGUAGGAUCCAGAUGAGGGCAGAGCUAAUCCAGGACACUCAAGUCAUUAGGGGUGAAGGAGUGUGAAGUUCAGAGUUUGACUCUUGGUCUCUUCCUCCCACAAAGUAGUAUUGGCAAUUUGGAGAGCUUCAGAGAGAAGAAACUUUCAGCAGAAAUACACCUGCCCCUUUCCCUACCAUUUCCAAAUGUUUCUGCCUCUUCUCUUUCCUUUAGCUUCUUGCCUGGGACAGGUGGGUGCUCCACCUCCCUUCCCCUCCCUUUCCUCCUCAAGGGCACCAGAGCCGUAUCCAGAACCAUGGACAGCUCCCAGGCGAGCCCAAAAGAGUGGGAAAGAUGUGACCAAAGUCACUCAGCGGGUUAAUGGAAAGGCCAAGAUCCAGGCUUCUAAUUUCCAGCUUCUUAAGGAGUCUCCUUGCCUGAAUUGGUUGGAACAGGCAUAUUGCUGGUAGGAGAGUUCAAGGUUGCCUCCAUACCAAAAAGGACAGGAUGCAUGUCUGGACAUAUGAGGUGUGCACACAAGCCAGGGAGAGGUGGAACUGACUGCUAUCUCUGUCUGGAGAAGUUUGAAGGGGUCGCCUCAGGGAGAAGCACAGGGUAAGGCAUACCUAACAGUAGCUGGCAAGCCCAUGGGAGAAAAGGCAAGGAGGCAACCAUCUGCCAGGGCAAAGAGGCCAGUAGAUGGCCACAAUGAGUCUCCAGAGGCCAGCAAGAGUCACACAAACUGGAACAGGGCCUGGGAAAGGCCCUUCUGUGUGCCCAGUCCUGCUCCCCCAACACCGCAAGCCUAGAAACAAAGGGGCCAUUCUCUGUAGGAUUUGAUGCCGCAAUCUCCGGCUGGCAGUGCCAGGUGGUGGGGGCAUCAGGGGGUGUCAACCCAUUAUGCCCCCCCCCACCUCUCUAGGUCCUCUGGGGCUGGAUGUUGUGGAGGUGGGUGUUCCAUGCCAUGUUGCCAUGGCAACCACCCCAACCCCCACCUUCCAAAGCACAAAGAGAGACAGCUCUCACCCCCACCCCCAGGAAGAAUCUGGGUCUGGUUGGGAAUCUUCCCUUGGGAAUCCUCCUUUCUGAUGCACAAGCCAUGGCAUGUAUCACCCUCUUUUCAGCACCCGGAGCUGAAGGUUCAGCCAUUGGCAGACCAUACAGGCAGGGAGGUUGGUACAUCCAGAGUCUCUGGGCAAGGUUGUGCCAGUGAGUCCCUUAUACUUAACCCUCUCCCCGCCUCCCAAGCUCUCCUGUCCCUCACCUAUAGCCAAGGCCAUCCUAUGCCUUUUCAGCUGAAGCGAGGAGGUCUUGACCUUCUGCUCUUUCCCAGAAGUGAAGGACACCUCACUACUCCCAGCAAGCUUCCAGGCUGUGGGAAGAGAAGAGAGGGCCAUUCCUGCCACCCUUCAUCUGCACCCUCCGCCAUUACUCAUUAGGCAUUCUGCCCCCUCCUUCCGCUCGUUAAGCCUGAUUUGCAUAUAUUUGCAUAAUACAACUCAUUUGCAUUCCAGGAGGCUCUUGGUAGGAGCCAGGAAAAAAGGGGAGGGGGGUUAGAGAAGAGAAAAAAGGGGAGAGAUUUUGUUUGCAUCAAAGUGUGUGUGGUGGGGGGGGUGGCAGGAAGAAGAUAGAAAUAAAAACUCACACUACUUUCUUUCUUCCCUUCUGCCCUCCCUCCCUUAGCUGGACUCAGAUGCCAAAGAGAGAUGCCAAGGGGCCUGCUUUUUUAUCCUUUUUUGUCUUGCUUCCUCCGGCCUUGGCUCCCCAGCCUGGCCCCCCACCUUGCUGGGCUCAGGCUUCAGAAAAAAAGGGACAGGGGUAGGAGGCAAGGCUGUGGGAACGGAAGCGGAGGGAGAGGGAGGCCACUAUCUUAGGUAGCCGGUGCCUGGAAAAGGGCCUCCUGCAUCAGGUGUGGGCUGCCAGCCAGCCCGGGGUCAGUGGCCGUGGCGGGAGGUGAGGCCCUGAGGAGGGGUUUCCAGCUGAUCAGGACCAUUGCUGAGUCUUCCUACUAGCAGAACUGGGGGAAAAGGAUGGAGAGAGAAGGGAGGAGGGAGAGAUGGGGGAUGGUGGCCCCAGAAGAGACAUGAGCCACAUUUAGGAGUAGGUGUUGUGGGAGGACUUCUGCCUGAGGUUUGGUUCCAGACCCCUCAUGAGUUCCAGUGUCAGAGGACUUGGAGCACUAUGCAUAAUAUUAAAAAAAAAAAAAACUGGAGGAAUUAGACCUGGGUGUAUCAGCAGGAAGGGGAGAGGAUAAAGAGUGAGCAGGCAGGAUGAUCCAUCAGUUUGAGGGUUUCUCUGGGACCUGGGAAGGGCCCCUAUGAACUUGAGGUGACAUUCCAAGUCUUCUCUCCUCAGCUCACCCUUCUGGCCUCCAUCUUUAUAGCUGGUGAGACCUGUGCCCCCUCCAGCCCCUCACUCAGCCUCCUUAACCAGACCCAGUGUCCCUUACUCAAGCCUGGUGACCUCUGAGGAGUAUUUCAUACUGAGCCAUCCCAUCUUCUUUGGCCUUUGGUUCUUCUCUUACAGCUGAUUAUUCAUUCUGGAUUCUAUUCAAUCAGUCUUCUGGACUGACUCCAUUCAGUCUCCAUUCAGAAGUGUUCCCCAGGUUCUGCUAACAGUUUUUUUUUUUUUUUCCCUCUUUCCACUCACAUUCUUUCACUUUUAUCAUUUCAGUAUCACUAAGAUUUCUCUAAACUCCAGAUUUGUACCCUAACGACUAUCUGGGUCCAUUAGCUCCCAGAUCAGACUGGAAUGGCGCAUCUGAUUGGCUAAGCCUGGAGCACGUGAGCAGGCCCUAGCUGCAAGGUAGCCUGAGAAAAGUGCCUGUGCUUUUGGCUUCUGUGGUGUCAUAUAAGUACAAUCCCCUCCAAAAUUCAUGAGAUGGCUGUUCCCCAGACAUAGGGAGGGCCUUCAGAUGCUCACUUAUUUGGCAUUGAGUGUGCUUCAAAUCUUGCCCUAUGUUCCUGCUUCCCUAUCCCUCUCAACAGCAUCAUUAAAAUUCUAGGUCCUCAAGUGCAAAUCCUGAGCAUUAUCCUGGAUUUACCCUCUUCGCUCCCCUCAUCCAGAUCAGCCACAUCAGAACCCAUCACAUUGCAGCGCUUCUCACAUCUGUGCCUUCCUUUCCCUUAUCCCUAGUUCCAUUAUCGGCUCAUUCCUUCAACAGACGUUUAUUGGGCUGGGCACCUACUGUGUGCCAGGUGCUGUGCUGAAGAGGAUGGUGGAAUACAAAGCUGCUUUGAGGGCCUAGAAGCCUAGUGGGGGAGGCAGACAGGAAUAACUACAAGACAGUGUGAAAGCUGCUGUCUUGAAGACCUGUGCAAGGUAUGUGGCAGCAUGGGGGCCAGAGCCCUGAGCUCCCUCAGGGGAGUUAUGGAAGGCUUUCUGCAGGGGGCCAAAAGAUAAGUGUUAAAAGAUAAAGGGAUAAAAUUGAUGAAAGGUAAGCAGGGGACUGCCAGUCUAAGGAGUCUGAGAAGUGUGUGGUGGGGAGUAGACAGCAUAUCCGAAGGCAAGGAGGUAGGAAAGCAGGGUGUGAUAGGGACUAGAGUGUCAUCAAUGGGAGUCCGGGUGAGGAGGAGAUGGAGGCCAAAGUUCAGUUAUUAAGAGCCUAUGUGGAGUUCCUGUCAUGGCUCAGCGGAAAUGAGUCUGACUAGGAUCCAUGAGGACACAGUUCUAUCCCUGGCCUCGCUCAGUGGGUUAAGGAUCUGGGUGUUGCUGUGGCUGUGGUGUAGGCUGGCAGCUGUAGCUCUGACUGGACCCCUAGCCUGGGAACCUCCAUAUGCCACAAGUGCGGCCCUAAAAGGACAAAAAAAAAAAAAAAAAAGCUUACGUGCUUCACCAGGGAGGCUGGAUUUGAUAGGGGUACUAGGAAAUUAGCCAACAGUGUCAGAGAUACUGGGUGCAGAGUGUGGCUCAGGGGCAGCCCAUGACCAUUCUCGGGAAGAAGGCGGAAACCUGAAACUUGUUGCCCGCUGAGCCCAGAACCAACCAGAUAUUUAACUGACUCUUGGAUGGUUCUGAACAAAUGGGGGAACACCAAAGGGCUUGGAACCACCUAAAGGAGGGUCCUCUGCCUCUAACCCUCUAGAAUCACCCUUUCUCCCCUCAGCCACACACACCUGCACGCUGGGGGCAGGCUUGGGGGAGCUGUCUAGGGAGAAAUGUAGAGAAGCCAAGGUUGGCCUUGAGCACGGUAAGUGCUCUGAGGUCAGGUCAGGACAGGAGAUGGGCCUCUGCAGACUGGAGUGGAGAACAUAGUUCAAUCCUGGAAACUUCUUGGAGGAGGGAGGGAAAGGGUAAACGGGGGGAUGUAGGGGUGGGCAAGGCUCUGAGGAGAGUCUUCCUAGAGAAGGGGUGAGAGGCCAGAGAGACAGCUGAGGCAAAGAUGAGGCCACUGCUGGCCGUGGGGUGGAAUGGAAGUGGGGGUGCCACCUACCGCCCCUCCCCCAGGCCCAGUCUCUGCACAAAGACCUCUCUGUGAGUAGCUGUGGAAGUGGCCCUGUCAGGUGAGAGGACUUAGCUCCAGGGCCCAUCAGGGGUGGGCUGGAAUGGGUUGGAGGAGGGGAAGGUGUGGAAUGGCUUCAGGCUUUAACUGGAAGGAAAUAGAAGCUGAGACUCGGCCAGGUCUCAGUGAGGCCAUGGUGGAGCCGCUCCCAGGACAAGCUCCCCUUUAGCACCAAUACCCCGCACCUGCUCUCUCACUGUGUCUUCCCAGAUGUGACUCCAGAUCCUGCCAGGCCUCUCCAGGCUGCCUUCCCCAACACCGCGCCCCACUAGUGCCUCUGCAGCUGCCCCCACCCCAAGCCUCUUCUUCCCAGUGUGGAAACUCUCAAGUCCCCUCCAGCUCCUGCACAGGGCUCCCGCUCCUGGGAGGGGGAAAGACAAGAUAGACCAGAGCUCAAAAAGGAGUCCAAGGUCCCCUUAGUCUCUACACUCAGGCUCAUCUUCCCCAGGGGAGGUUCCCUUCCUUGCCUGGCCUCCUGUCACUUAUGCUAAUUAGCAGUGGGGAUAGACCACCCCUUCCUUCAGGCCCCCCGCUGUGUACAGUGUCCCCCCUAAUAACAAUGUGGAUUUGGGGCACUGGAAGUGGUAGAACAAGAGCAGACACAUCUCAGCAGAUAGGUUGCUCACAGAUUUGAUAGAGGAGCUCUAUCCAUAGAACAACGAAAGAAGGUUUUGAUGUUUGGGGUUUAUUUAUUUAUUUUUGUCUUUUUAGGGCUGCACCCACGACAUAUGGAGGUUCCCAGGCUAGGGGUCAAAUAGGAGCUGUAGCUGCCAACCUACACCACAGCCACUGCAAUACCAGAUCUGAGCCGAGUCUGCGACCUACACCACAGCUCAUGGCAACGAUGGAUCCUUAACCUUGAGUGAGGCGGGGGGGUCAAACCCACAUCCUCAUGGAUGCUAGUCGGGUUUGUUAACCACUGAGCCCCCUGGGGUUGGGGGGGUGCUUUUGUUUUGCUUUUCAGGGCUGCAGGUGCAGCAUAUGGAAGUUUCCAGGCUAGGGGUCGAAUCAGAGCUACAACUGCUGGCCUGCACUGCAGCUCAUGGCAACGCUGGAUCCUUAACUCACUGAGUGAGGCCUGAUCCUCAUCCUCAGGGAUACCGGUCAGGUGCUAUAACCCGCUGAGCCACAACAGGAACUCCCAGAGUUUUUGGUUUUUGAUUCUGGAAUCCAGCAGGCUGGUCAAGAUGCACAUUUUGUCUUCCUUCCCUUACUAGUUGGGUGGCCUUAGCCAAGUUGCUUGAUGUCUUUGGAUCCUAACUUGCACCACCGUCCUGAGGAUCAAACAGGUCGGUGUGGAUGAGAGUGUUUUGCAAGGCUGUGUGCAGAUGUCCAGUGUCCAUUCUAAAUGCUGAGGGACACACAGGUAGAGGGGCCACCAUAGGCAGGCGAGGACAAUCAAGGGCGGCUUCCAGUGUUUGGAAAUGAGGGAGGGGAUCGCUGGGGCGGAGAGCGCAGGUUCUCUGGGUGCAAAACGUGAUGAAGGUCUGGCUGGGCUCUGUGAGCUCUCUGGUCUCAAGCGGGUGAACAUCUUGCUGAGAAUGGUUUGGGUGGCACUUGCUUUUAACAACUAGAUGAUGAAAUGGCCUCCAGGACCACAGCUUCUUUCAUCCUUCUCAGGAGGCGCUUCCUGCUGGCCCCGUGAGAACCCCGUCCAGCAAUUCUGGGAUGAGAGGAGGGUGGCAUGAAGCUCCAUUUUUCCCCAUUGCCCUGACCUGCUCCCCACAUCUCAAUGUUCUCCGGAGGGAACAUUAGCCAGACAUUGUGACCCUCUGCUGAAUGAACACAAAAUGGUUCCUCCAAGCCCUGCCACUCGGAACCCGCCCAAGUCUGAUUUUAUGCUUCCUUGGCAUUGUCAGGAGUGAGCUCAAUUCAGACCAAUUUAGAUCUCUCGGCCCAUGGGCCAGGGGGACUUUGAGCAGGAGGGUCUUUUGUCUCUAAGCAGUCAUUCCUUGUUGUACAAGCAAGAGUCAGGAGGAGGGAUGGUUUUGGCCUCAUCCCCCACAGACAGCAGUGGAGCCUUUAGGCCUGGAGGGAAGGGCCAGGCUGAGGCUGGCAUAUGGAGGGAGAGCCCUGGGCACAGGGGGCAUGAGCUUCACCCAGCUGGGGCUACCUUCUGCUGGGUUUGUCCAUCUGGCACCAGCUGGCUUCCCGGCACCGUCCCCACAACCAACCAGACUCCUUCGGCUGUGGUUGCCAUGGCAAUUGGCUGCCAUCUUGUACUUAGGGCACUAUCUCAUAUCUGGAAUUUCCCAUGGGGUUCCUGGAGGAUGGGAGAUAGGUCUCCAGGGAUUUAGCCUUUCCUCUUUAUAUCCGCCCAAUGAAAAUUCAUAUUAAUAUAUGAUUUUUAAAAAUAGCCAAAAUGAAGGCUUACUUUAUGUGAGGCUCUGCUAAAUACUCCCUAUGUGUUAUUUAAUUGGGCUAAGAAAGCAUUAAUGAAAUAAAAUUCAAGAGGUCCCCACCCAGUUUCCUGUUUCUAUGAUGGACUUUUUCUCUCUCCAACCAGGAACAGCCAGGUCUUGCUUACUCCUGCCUUGGGAAGUCCUUCCCAAUGUCUAACCAAGAUCUGUACCGCUGAAGUACCAGUUCUUUGACCCUCGGCUUGACAUGGCUAAUUUGAGAGGCACAGGGAGGAACUGACCUUGAUUUGGCACCUGCUUGCUUGUGUAAGCCCUUUUUUCUUUUUUCUUUUUUUGGUCAUUUUUUGUUUUUUAGGACCACACCCGUGGCAUAUGGAGGUUCCCAGGCUAGGGGUCCAAUCGGAGUGGUAGCUGCUGGCCUAUACCACAGCUCCCAGCAACGCCGGAUCCUUAACCCACUGAGCGAGGCCAGGGAUAGAACCCAAGUCCUCGUGGAUGCUAGGUGGGUUUGUUAACCACUGAGCCACAAUGGGAACUCCCUAUGUAAACCCUUUCUUAGCCAUUCUUAUCUCAGUGAAUCUUCCAACAGUCCUGAAAACUGAGUGAUACUGUCGCCACUACACAAAGACAUAAUCAGAGCCCCAAGUCACAGGACUGGUAAGUGAAGCUGGGCUUCAGGUGGGUCCUGGUGGACCCCAGAGCACAUGCGGUCUCCCCCUCCUGUACUGACUGCCUAAAGAAUAUGUUCCAAACACAGUCAGGAACACCAAGAGGAGAUGGGACCAGGUAGGCAGGGAGCCUUCUCUGCAAGUCCUCAGGGGGAGAAGGGGCAUUCCCUCUCAGGCGCAGGACUGAAGUCGGAGGAAUGCUACAGCAGCCCUUGAGGAGUGAAGGCAGGCCUGGGGAAGGGGGCACAGGAGCCCUAGAAGUCAAUAAAAUCCUCCCAGCUGGGCUCCUGGCCAAGGGAAUAUGCUUCCCAUCUUCCUAAAGCCAAGUACCUGGGGCCACCGCCGCCUCUCACCUGCUUGAGAUCUGAGUUCCCGCCCUGGGCAUUCUCCCCCACCCCCACUCCACGGCUCUGGGUAGAGCACCUCGAAGAGAUGUCUAGACUCAGCCACUGUCAUGGUAGCCCCUUGGAGAGCCCUCCCUGGUCUCUUACCUCUCCUGGCCCCUGGACGGUUACCUUCUGCCUCCUGCUAAGGUCUCCAUCCAAAGAGAAGCUCUUUCACUCUUGACCUAUUUAUUUUCUUUUCAGACCAAAAAGAAGAACCUACUUCACCCACUUGUCCUGGGUUCCCUCUGAGACGCUGUCUUGAUUGACUGAAAGAUGAGGCUAAACUCUAGCAAGUUGAGUGGCUCCUCCCAGAAUCCUUUAAGCAGGAUAGAAGUGGGGAGGCCCCAGCCUCCAGCCUGGGCAGCCCGUUAGACUGGAGCCGCCUGGCAAAGACUUUAUUUCAUCAUUGCUCCAGUGUCUGCAAGCUGUCCAUCCUGGCCAGCCCUGGUUUCCCCUGUGUCGUCUGAACUGAGAAUCUUCUGAGAUGGAAGUCCCAUCUCAUGCCUAAUAAAGACUCUCAAAUAUUGAACAACAGUA